RNAcentral lists this ribosomal RNA (1554 nucleotides) under Enterobacter cloacae. RNAcentral describes it as "bacterial SSU rRNA". It matches the Rfam family "Bacterial small subunit ribosomal RNA". RNAcentral also lists the same sequence under 5 other names. The record is from RNAcentral. Lineage: Bacteria; Pseudomonadati; Pseudomonadota; Gammaproteobacteria; Enterobacterales; Enterobacteriaceae.
UUAAAUUGAAGAGUUUGAUCAUGGCUCAGAUUGAACGCUGGCGGCAGGCCUAACACAUGCAAGUCGAACGGUAACAGGAAGCAGCUUGCUGCUUUGCUGACGAGUGGCGGACGGGUGAGUAAUGUCUGGGAAACUGCCUGAUGGAGGGGGAUAACUACUGGAAACGGUAGCUAAUACCGCAUAACGUCGCAAGACCAAAGAGGGGGACCUUCGGGCCUCUUGCCAUCGGAUGUGCCCAGAUGGGAUUAGCUAGUAGGUGGGGUAACGGCUCACCUAGGCGACGAUCCCUAGCUGGUCUGAGAGGAUGACCAGCCACACUGGAACUGAGACACGGUCCAGACUCCUACGGGAGGCAGCAGUGGGGAAUAUUGCACAAUGGGCGCAAGCCUGAUGCAGCCAUGCCGCGUGUAUGAAGAAGGCCUUCGGGUUGUAAAGUACUUUCAGCGGGGAGGAAGGCGAUAAGGUUAAUAACCUUGUCGAUUGACGUUACCCGCAGAAGAAGCACCGGCUAACUCCGUGCCAGCAGCCGCGGUAAUACGGAGGGUGCAAGCGUUAAUCGGAAUUACUGGGCGUAAAGCGCACGCAGGCGGUCUGUCAAGUCGGAUGUGAAAUCCCCGGGCUCAACCUGGGAACUGCAUUCGAAACUGGCAGGCUAGAGUCUUGUAGAGGGGGGUAGAAUUCCAGGUGUAGCGGUGAAAUGCGUAGAGAUCUGGAGGAAUACCGGUGGCGAAGGCGGCCCCCUGGACAAAGACUGACGCUCAGGUGCGAAAGCGUGGGGAGCAAACAGGAUUAGAUACCCUGGUAGUCCACGCCGUAAACGAUGUCGACUUGGAGGUUGUGCCCUUGAGGCGUGGCUUCCGGAGCUAACGCGUUAAGUCGACCGCCUGGGGAGUACGGCCGCAAGGUUAAAACUCAAAUGAAUUGACGGGGGCCCGCACAAGCGGUGGAGCAUGUGGUUUAAUUCGAUGCAACGCGAAGAACCUUACCUACUCUUGACAUCCAGAGAACUUUCCAGAGAUGGAUUGGUGCCUUCGGGAACUCUGAGACAGGUGCUGCAUGGCUGUCGUCAGCUCGUGUUGUGAAAUGUUGGGUUAAGUCCCGCAACGAGCGCAACCCUUAUCCUUUGUUGCCAGCGGUCCGGCCGGGAACUCAAAGGAGACUGCCAGUGAUAAACUGGAGGAAGGUGGGGAUGACGUCAAGUCAUCAUGGCCCUUACGAGUAGGGCUACACACGUGCUACAAUGGCGCAUACAAAGAGAAGCGACCUCGCGAGAGCAAGCGGACCUCAUAAAGUGCGUCGUAGUCCGGAUUGGAGUCUGCAACUCGACUCCAUGAAGUCGGAAUCGCUAGUAAUCGUGGAUCAGAAUGCCACGGUGAAUACGUUCCCGGGCCUUGUACACACCGCCCGUCACACCAUGGGAGUGGGUUGCAAAAGAAGUAGGUAGCUUAACCUUCGGGAGGGCGCUUACCACUUUGUGAUUCAUGACUGGGGUGAAGUCGUAACAAGGUAACCGUAGGGGAACCUGCGGUUGGAUCACCUCCUUACCUUAAAGAA